RNAcentral lists this ribosomal RNA (305 nucleotides) under uncultured bacterium. RNAcentral describes it as "bacterial SSU rRNA". It matches the Rfam family "Bacterial small subunit ribosomal RNA", at positions 333 to 631 of the family's 1533-position model. The record is from RNAcentral.
UUAAGCCUACGGGACGCAAUAGUAGGGAAUUUUCGUCAAUGGGCGCAAGCCUGAACGAGCAAUGCCGCGUGAACGAGGAAGGUCUUCGGAUCGUAAAGUUCUGUUGAAGGGGAAAAAGAGCGGAGAGAGGAAAUGAACUCCGAUUGAUAUUACCCUUCGAGGAAGUCACGGCUAACUACGUGCCAGCAGCCGCGGUAAUACGUAGGUGGCGAGCGUUAUCCGGAAUGAUUGGGCGUAAAGGGUGCGUAGGCGGCCUGCUCAGUCUGGAGUGAGAGGGACCGGCUCAACCGGUACAGGCGCUGGAA